AACUCUCAACCCCCCUAUUUUGUAAUGAGAUGGGCGUGGGCUUGGAUUAUGGUUGUCUGUUGGCGUAAUUGCCGGCUCAACUGAAAUACACGAGCAACCCUACUGAAAUAAACGGUUUGACUUGGCGUAAUAAUUAUUUCGCUAAGGACGUUUUCUUCAAUUAUAAGAGGUGCUUCUAAUUCGCUUCUAAUAGCAUUUAAGC
Molecule: unclassified non-coding RNA, 202 nt
Filed under: uncultured Cystobasidium
Lineage: Eukaryota; Fungi; Basidiomycota; Cystobasidiomycetes; Cystobasidiales; Cystobasidiaceae
Description: sequence contains ITS2
Source: RNAcentral